GAUGAACGCUGGCGGCGUGCCUAAUACAUGCAAGUCGAGCGAACGGACGAGAAGCUUGCUUCUCUGAUGUUAGCGGCGGACGGGUGAGUAACACGUGGAUGACCUACCUAUAAGACUGGGAUAACUUCGGGAAACCGGAGCUAAUACCGGAUAAUAUUUUGAACCGCAUGGUUCAAAAGUGAAAGACGGUCUUGCUGUCACUUAUAGAUGGAUCCGCGCUGCAUUAGCUAGUUGGUAAGGUAACGGCUUACCAAGGCAACGAUGCAUAGCCGACCUGAGAGGGUGAUCGGCCACACUGGAACUGAGACACGGUCCAGACUCCUACGGGAGGCAGCAGUAGGGAAUCUUCCGCAAUGGGCGAAAGCCUGACGGAGCAACGCCGCGUGAGUGAUGAAGGUCUUCGGAUCGUAAAACUCUGUUAUUAGGGAAUAACAUAUGUGUAAGUAACUGUGCACAUCUUGACGGUACCUAAUCAGAAAGCCACGGCUAACUACGUG
Molecule: ribosomal RNA, 497 nt
Filed under: uncultured bacterium
Lineage: Bacteria
Description: partial 16S ribosomal RNA
Rfam family: Bacterial small subunit ribosomal RNA
Source: RNAcentral